AGCAGCCGCGGUAAUUCCAGCUCCAAUAGCGUAUAUUAAAGUUGUUGCAGUUAAAAAGCUCGUAGUUGAAUUUCGAGAUCAAAUUGUUGGUCGUGCCUCGGUACGUACUGGCAUUAUUGAUUUCUCCCUUCUGAAGAACCACGAUGUCAUUAAUUUGGUGUCGUGGGGAAUCAGGACUGUUACUUUGAAAAAUUAGAGUGUUUAAAGCAGGCUCACGCUUGAAUACAUUAGCAUGGAAUAAUGAAAUAGGACGUUUGAUUCUAUUUUGUUGGUUUCUAGGAUCGACGUAAUGAUUAAUAGGGAUAGUUGGGGGCAUUAGUAUUCAAUUGUCAGGGGUGAAAUUCUUGGAUUUAUUGAAGACUAACUACUGCGAAAGCAUUUGCCAAGGAUGUUUUCAUUAAUCAAGAACGAAAGUUAGGGGAUCGAAGACGAUCAGAUACCGUCGUAGUCUUAACCAUAAACUAUGCCGACUAGGGAUCGGAUGAUGUUAAUUUUUUAAUGACUCAUUCGGCGCCUUACG
RNAcentral lists this ribosomal RNA (520 nucleotides) under uncultured Glomus. Its description in RNAcentral is "SSU rRNA". It matches the Rfam family "Eukaryotic small subunit ribosomal RNA", at positions 569 to 1092 of the family's 1831-position model. The record is from RNAcentral. Lineage: Eukaryota; Fungi; Glomeromycota; Glomeromycetes; Glomerales; Glomeraceae.